AAUUUUGGACAAUGGGCGCAAGCCUGAUCCAGCCAUGCCGCGUGAGUGAAGAAGGCCUUCGGGUUGUAAAGCUCUUUCGGACGGAAAGAAAUCGCGCAGGCUAAUACCCUGCGCGGAUGACGGUACCGUCAUAAGAAGCACCGGCUAACUACGUGCCAGCAGCCGCGGUAAUACGUAGGGUGCGAGCGUUAAUCGGAAUUACUGGGUGUAAAGGGUGCUCAGGUGGGUUUGUAAGUCAGAGGUGAAAUCCCAAAGCUUAACUUUGGAGCUGCCUUUGAUACUGCAAGUCUGGAGUUUGAGAGAGGGCAAUGGAAUAUCUGGUGUAGCAGUGAAAUGCGUAGAUAUCAGAUAGAACACCAAUGGCGAAGGCAGUUGCCUGGCUCAAAACUGACGCUAAAGCACGAAAGUGUGGGGAGCAAACAGG
Molecule: ribosomal RNA, 424 nt
Filed under: uncultured bacterium
Lineage: Bacteria
Description: partial 16S ribosomal RNA
Rfam family: Bacterial small subunit ribosomal RNA
Source: RNAcentral